UGCCAGCCGCCGCGGUAAUACGGAGGGUGCAAGCGUUAAUCGGAAUUACUGGGCGUAAAGCGCGCGUAGGCGGUUUUUUAAGCCGGACGUGAAAUCCCCGGGCUCAACCUGGGAAUUGCCUUCGAUACUGGGAGACUUGAGUACGAGAGAGGGAGGUAGAAUUCCACGUGUAGCGGUGAAAUGCGUAGAUAUGUGGAGGAAUACCAGUGGCGAAGGCGGCCUCCUGGCUCGAUACUGACGCUCAUGUGCGAAAGCGUGGGGAGCAAACAGGAUUAGAUA
This 279-nucleotide ribosomal RNA is filed under the name uncultured bacterium. Its description in RNAcentral is "partial 16S ribosomal RNA". It matches the Rfam family "Bacterial small subunit ribosomal RNA", at positions 506 to 784 of the family's 1533-position model. The record is from RNAcentral.